Heterocephalus glaber (naked mole-rat) is the source of this 5859-nucleotide long non-coding RNA. The record is from Ensembl. NCBI's taxonomy places the organism in Eukaryota, Metazoa, Chordata, Mammalia, Rodentia, Bathyergidae.
UGGGGCAUGGUUCACUUCCUGCGAUCCUGCCCCCUUCCUCCAGUCGCCACUCACCGAGCAACCUCGUGUGGAGUCCCACUGUGUUCGAGGCUCUCGUCGGCUGUAGAGAAAUAGCUGUGAACAGCACAGAACCACUCCUUUGCUCUCCUGACUCAAAAGGACAUAUAUCACCACCUGACAGUUACACCUUGAAUUCCUGAGAGCCUGCCUUUCUCUACUAAAAAGCCAACUCCAAGAAUGUAGAGGGGUAGGGGCCUGGGAUGAAGCUCAGUGGCACCGUGCCUGCCAGGCAACCACAAGGUCCUGAGUUCGAUUCCCAGAACUGAAAAAGAAAUGUAGAGGAGUGAUGUCUUCCAGGGCUGUGUUCCCAGCACCAGAGCUGCGCACGACACACGCCUGCUGUGUACAGGUGUUAAGAGAGUGAAAGUGAUUCUGGAGGAGGGAGCCUGAAGCAGGGAGGCCGGGUCUUCUGGAGGAAAGACUCAACAGGAUGCAUGUGCAUAACCACACAAAGGGUCUGUUAAGUAGCUCACAGGACCCCAGUGAGGAGAGUUCACUGUGGGCCGCUGCACUCUGGAGAGCCCGAGGAUCCAGUGGCUGUUCAGCCUAAAGAGCUGAAACUGCAGGGCAGGAGGGGCCAAGGAGGCAGCACCAGUCCAAACCAAAGGCCCAGAAGCUCCUCGGCGAGUCACACUCUGAGUCUGUGUUGGACGCUGAACAAACCAGAGCCUGACAUCACAGGCGACAGCAGCAGCCAGACAGGACCGCCCAAACGGAACGGUGCUCCCAGGAAGACACAAGACCUCCUCCACCUUCCUCCGGUCUCUAAGCCGUGAGCCCAUUGGCUGGCACUGGGCACUGUCAGAAAAGUCUGGGAUCUUGAAAAAGGGAUAAUGAAGAACAGCCUAUCAUCCUACCGCCCGUGUGUGUUACAAGGUUGGACAAUACUGCCUGUUACGUUGUACAAACGAACAUGAAGGAGCGGCUCCCGUUCAGGAGUGAGGGCCCGUGGGGAUGAAGAUACUCGGCCUGCUUGGACUGCUGGGCAGUGAGAGCCGGUUAAGCGAUGAUCGAGGCGCAGUGCACCAAGCUGUGUCUCAAGCUAGUCACGACUGCUGUUCUCAGAAGUCUAUCCAUCUGUCCGUCCGUCCGUCCACCCAUCCCACAACUCCUUUCUGAUCAAGAUGUCAAACUGAGCCACCAUCUAGAUAAGAUGGACCCAAAGUCCCUAUAUGGACUCAGCUUGACAUGACUGCAGCCAUCUUGAACUGUAGCUGUGUGAUUGGCCCUGAUCGACCCUGGUUGGUUUUCCUCACAGUUUACAAAACCGUUAGAAUGGUACGUGGAGCUUUACAACCAGACCUUGGUGCCGAGAAUGUCCCUGACCUUCGAGGGUGGCUGGAGAUAAAUCCAAUACAUUCUGGCUUAGAGGAAGCCACUUUCGUCCUGACCAUUCUGUAAGCCUCCAUCUUCUGGCCCAAAGUGUAAGGCUCCACCUGGUCUUGCUUCUGGUGCCAGCUGUCCAACAAAUUGUGCUCUGUGUGACCCCAGAUCCGUGGCCCCCUUGUUCUGUCUCACAGUGCCUGGGACGUCAGUCCUCAGACACAGGGACCAGUUUGUUCGAACAGCACUGGUUAAGGGUUCCCGGAAGCCAGAGCCUCUGGGAGCCUUGCACGUUCCCGUGGGGCUCGCUGUGUGUGGCCCCUCUGGCUCUGGGCUCCUUGCUCCGCAGGGGGAAUCUGUGUCCGUGAACCAGGUCCUCCCUGGCCUAUGCCCCAUUAACUCACUGUGGGCUCAGCGCCCACCAGUUCAGCCAGUCACAGGAGGUGUGCAGAUUGCCACUGUCCGUAGAUAGAAAACUUUCAGAAAAGAAAGUCUCUUUUCUGGUCCUUUCCAUGACUUGGCUCCCAUCUUAUCUUAGCUUGCAAGUGAUUCCCUCACCAAGUGAACUCUGACAGCAGCUGUCAAGCUAUUUUAUUUUUUCUUGGUUUGAAAUUCCUUCAGCAGGAAUUUACUCUAGAGUGGUCCAAGGACUGGGUCAAUGUUGUGGCUUAGCUCGAAAAGCCCCCAAAGCCUUCUGUGCUCAGAGCUGGGGCUUCUGGGAGGUGGUGAGGGUUGCACGCUCCGCUGGAGUCGCCCACCCAGCAGUUCAGCGCUGACUGUGGGGAGGGGGCCUGGUGGGGCGUGUGGCAGGAGGUGUGUCCUUGUCCCAUUUCCUGCUUGCCUCAGCUUCCUGGCUGCCAUGGUGUGAGCAACCUCUCCUCCAGGUCUCUCUGCCGUUCUGUUUCUGCCUCAGAGCCGGCCGACCACGGACUGCAAUCGUGAGCCAAGGUAAAACUCUUGUGCUGUGGGUUGCAGGUGCUGGGCAUCGUGUGCAGUGAAGGGAGAGUGACUAAGACAGGCAGGCAUCAUCCUGGUGGCAGAGUUGGGUGGCCACCACAGGCCAGGUAAGUGCUGAAGAUGUCCCAGGCAGCUCACCUUGGGCCCAGCCUGCCUCGCCUGGGUUAAGUGUGGGACAGGUGGGUGGGCCCUGGAGGAGAGAAGAGACUCCAUGCAGAGAAUGCAGCAGGGCUCAGCACCGAGGCUGUCACUCAGGACCCGUCAGAGCCGCCUGCGCUUUGUCCACUGCAUGAAGCAGGGCUCGCUGCUGCAUCGAACACCUUGUUCUCAAAAGAAGAAAGAGAUGGGAAAGAAAACGCCCAGCGCCCGCUGGUGUCCGCAGAGUAAACGCUGCGUCGUGGCAGACUUCCAGCUGCCGAACGAACCCGGGCCCGGCUCCCGCCUUUCCCCUGCUCCCGUGGGUCACCUGGCUCCUGGCACUGGCAGCCUCAGACUCCUCUCUCGGUUUCCUCACUGACAUCUUUGCUUUUGAGAAGACCGAGGUGGCGGACACCUGACAGCCCCACGCCACUGACUUUGAAGGCGGAGGCGGGAGGAGGCAAACCCGGCGGCCACCGCUCACUAGAUCUGGGCCGCUGCCUCCUCAGGCCUCGACCUUCCGCGCUCACCCGGAAACUGGCGGGAGACACUGUGGACAAGGACUCGCCGGGAGCGCAGCCACUGGCAGUGUCUGAAGAGACACUGUCUGCCGAAGAAGCCCCGGCUCCGCGAGAGUCCCCGUGACCCUUUUCUGUUUCCCAAGGAAGAUCAAUCCUCCCCAUUGCUCCUGGAAGGAAAUCAGAAGGGCGUUCUCUGGGCAGAACGACGAUGCUGCUGCCCAGUGGUGAUCGGUGGGUCACAGGGACGGGGCUGGGUCUGCCUGUGGCCGGCGACACUCUGACGCGUGCGCAUUGCCCCUGGCCUGCGUUCCCGGCCCACUGUCCUUCAUGGGGACUCAGCCCCGCCUGGGCUCCAGGUGCGACAGGCAGCGAGGGCCACUGCCGGCUCCGGCUCCCUGAGGCGCGGGCUGGGGCGCCUGUCCAGGUGGGGCCCACAUCCCCCUCCCACCUGCCCCUCUUCCGCUUGGGGUCCGCCCACCUCAGAACUGCUCAGGACAGCUGCUCUGUUUCUUGGGGACGCUCAGUGGCCCUGGUGACCAGCCAGGGCUGCAGCACCCGCGCCUUCGCCACUGCUGGCCGGCCUCAUCCACAGCAGAAGGGACCUGUGCCCCUCUCGGAGGGAAGGGGCGCCGAGGACAGGACUUAGGGCUCCCCUUCCAGGCAGAGGAGAAAACAAACUGAUUUUUCGCCAACGAUGUCCUCGAAGAAACCUUCUUUGUUUUCUGGCACAGCCUGCGGGAUUUUCGGUUCGGCACGGGUUUUGCCCGAGGGAUGCCGUUCCCUGUGCCGCAGCCCCAGCGUGCCUGUCCCCGGGAGGGGCGUGCUUGCUGGGAGGAAAUGCCCCUCUUUCCGAGGGGACGCGCCCGCGCCUCCCACUCUGUCUGCUGAGGAGACUGCGGGGCUCUGGGUGUGGCGCGGGCGCAGAGGGCGAGGAAGGGCUGUUUCCCUCUGUGUCUCCACCUCGCCUGUCCAGCAGGACCAGGAGGCUGCGGGAGCCGAGCGCGGAAGAGGCCGCCGAGCGAGCGGAGCCGCCGGGAGCGUCUGGCAAGGGGCGAGGGGUCGCCAGGGCGACCGGUGCCUGGAGACGGGAGGCCCCGCCGGCCGCCGGAAGGAGACGCUUUUGUGGCGGGGAGGCGUCUCCCUGCACGUGGAAGGGCCGAGGCUCCCUCGCCCCGCCUGGGUUGGGCCGAUCCCUGGGAGUGGGGAAGAUCGAACCUGCUCGGCGCUCAGCCGUCUCGGGUGGGCGUCCGCGGGGCAGACGGCUGCGCCGGCUUCUGCGUCGCCCCAGGCUGGGGCCCAGGGCUGCAGAUCGAGUCCGCGCCAGGCAGGGCCGGGCGCAGGACUGCGCCGAUGCUGAGGCGCGAGGGCAGCGCAGGGUGGCGGGGCCCUGCAGAGCGGACGCGGACGCGGCCUUGUCUCAGGGGCGAUGCUCGCUCUGGGACUGGGCUGGUUCCGUGACGCAGGUGGAGACAAAGCGGUUCGGUCUCCUCAGCUCGCGCUCUUGCUUCGCUUCCUGCCCCGUGGCGUCUCUGUCCCCUCCCUUCCCCGCCACGUGAUGCCAUGGCCAGAAGCCGGCGCUGGACCUCCAGACCUGUGAGCGGCGUAAACCCCUUUUUCUGUAAAACAGCGGUCUCUGGUACUUCGUCACGGUAAUGGGAAACAGACUGAGAUGCACUGCAGCCAACGACUUCCAGGAGCUUAGUGGCCGAAGAAAAAUGAAUGUUUAUUCUCAUUCGUGUCGCUGUCCAGUGGGUCGAUGGUGGGGUCAGGCUCUCGGCCUAAGUACUUCAGAGACCCGGCCUUCUGCUGCCUGGUGGCUGUGCUUCCAUCCAGGGCCCAGCCGCCUCUCCACUCAGCGGGCAAACGUGAACGAAAUGCUUGCGGGAGGGUUUAUGGGCCAACCUUAGGGUUGUGCAUGACUUCCCACAUCUCGUUCGCAAAGCUCAGUCGUGUGAGCCUAGUGACUUUGUAAGUCACAUGACUUACACCUAGUUAUAAGACAGCCGAGAGAGGCAGCGCGGUUGUGCCCAGAGCAGGGAGAGGGCAGCCAUGGAUGGGUAACAGGUGCACCUGCUGGUUGGGGAGACUGGGCCAGAUCGAAGAGUCACUGCUUCUGUCACCUGCAAGGACUGGCUGCAUUUUAAGUAACAAGGGCGCUGUUCUAAUUUUCUCCCUGACAUGUUUUCUUCAGAACUCUAUUGGGGAAGUAAAAGCCUGUUUUGACGCCCUCAAUUCCAACAUUCAGUGCGUGGUCUAGAAACUAGGAAAUAAAAUACAGAAGUUGCGAUGAAUUUUGGACUUUAAUAUUCUUUGAACUUUAAAUCACAAGGGAAUGAGAAUAUGAUUUUGGACUUUAAUAUCUUUGUACUUUAACUUAAUGACUGAAUUUAAUCAUUGAACUUCAAGGUUUUUCCCCAGAAUAGUCAUGAUGAGAAGGAGUUGCUAUUCAAAUUCGGGACAUCUUAUCAUGGGCAUUUUGUUGCUGGAGUAUCCUAACAUUGUCAUUGAAUUUCAUGUGGGACAUUUCAUGAUCUACAUUUCGAGGAGCACGUAACCUAUCACCCACACUGAAACAGUUUUGAAAGAGAAGGAGGCUGCGUUAGUAAUUGUGCUGGAACAACCGGAAACCAGGACUGCUUUGGGUGCAGUGGGAUAUAGUGAGGAAGGACGGAGUUAGGAAGGAGAAAUGAAGUGUGGGAUAGUGUGAUAGAUUUUUUAUUCUAGCCUUGUGAUAGAUUUAAAUAGUCAAAUUUUCGGAGGCAGAAACAGUCUUAGGGCGAGCAUUCUCACAGUGCCCAACGGACCCCCAGGGAGCUGUAGCGCGGGGUCAGAGAAACCGCACUAGGUAUUUCAGACGGAG